RNAcentral lists this ribosomal RNA (253 nucleotides) under uncultured bacterium. RNAcentral describes it as "partial 16S ribosomal RNA". It matches the Rfam family "Bacterial small subunit ribosomal RNA", at positions 524 to 776 of the family's 1533-position model. The record is from RNAcentral.
UACGUAGGGGGCAAGCGUUAUCCGGAUUCACUGGGCGUAAAGGGAGCGCAGGCGGCAUGGCAAGUCUGAUGUGAAAACCCGGGGCCCAACCCCGGGAGUGCAUUGGAAACUGCCAGGCUGGAGUGUCGGAGGGGUAAGCGGAAUUCCUAGUGUAGCGGUGAAACGCGUAGAGAUUAGGAGGAACACCAGUGGCGAAGGCGGCUUACUGGACGACUACUGACGCUGAGGCUCGAAAGCGUGGGGAGCAAACAGG